Plodia interpunctella (Indianmeal moth) is the source of this 424-nucleotide long non-coding RNA. RefSeq lists it as uncharacterized. The transcript has 2 exons. The record is from RefSeq and is a predicted model, not a curated record. Lineage: Eukaryota; Metazoa; Arthropoda; Insecta; Lepidoptera; Pyralidae.
GAAUUCCUGAGGCGGUGUGCCGAGCACCUCCAUGAUCAGAUUCAGUUGAUGGAUAUCUGUCUCGUCCAUUAAGGUUGAAAGCCAACAAGGUCAUAAUACAAGCUAAUGCUAACAUUCAACAAGUGGAAUACAAAACACUGAUAGAUAGCUGAAAUAUGAAAAUUAAUUAUAUAAUUUUCAAUCAUGCAGUCAAUUUCAUUAACUGAAGAAAUCACUAUUAACAACAUACCCUGUGUAUAAUACCGGCUGAGUGGAUGUACUUCAAGCCACGGAGGAUUUGAUAGACAAGAAACUGUACAUGGUCAUCUGACAGUUUCUGUGUGCGUAUGAUGUUAUUUAAGUCUGCACCCAUCAGGUGCGUCACUAGGUAAACCUGCUGGAACUCCUCUAUUGUCUUCUCGGGACUGAAUACAUCCAGUAACCC